This 110-nucleotide ribosomal RNA is filed under the name Swartschewskia papyracea. RNAcentral describes it as "partial 28S ribosomal RNA". It matches the Rfam family "Eukaryotic large subunit ribosomal RNA", at positions 1 to 108 of the family's 3401-position model. Lineage: Eukaryota; Metazoa; Porifera; Demospongiae; Spongillida; Lubomirskiidae. The record is from RNAcentral.
CUGGACCUCAGCUCAGGCGUGACUACCCGCUGAAUUUAAGCAUAUCAAUAAGCGGAGGAAAAGAACCCACCAGGGAUUCCCCCAGUAACGGCGAGCGAAGCGGGAAUAGC